Molecule: long non-coding RNA, 1021 nt
Organism: Leptinotarsa decemlineata (Colorado potato beetle)
Lineage: Eukaryota; Metazoa; Arthropoda; Insecta; Coleoptera; Chrysomelidae
Source: RefSeq, a predicted model, not a curated record
AAAGUUGCGAAAUUUCUCAGAAACGACGAAGAGAUUCUGUUACAUUAUUUGGGGAAGCUAUUCGUCCCAUUGAGGAUACCAAAGGACAAUCACUGGAAGAAGCCCUUUUUGCAGUAUUAGAAUGUCCGGUGUGUUUAUCGGUGAUUUUACCACCUGUAGGGGAGUGUUUUAACGGUCACAAGCUUUGCAAUUACUGUUUUGAGCGAGUGAAAGACUGCCCCAUAUGCAGAAUACCAAAGACAUAUGUCAUAAACUUCAUUCUGGGGAAAAUUUUUGGAAUGGUAGUAAUAUCUUGCAGAAAUGCCCGCGGAGGUUGUGAAAUACGAGGAAGUGCCCCAUCUGUCCUAAAACACGAGAGGUCUUGUAAUUUCGUCGUGAAGUGUUGCCCACUCACGGUGGAUGGAUUCUGCAAAUGGCAGGGUGCGGUGCGUCAUUUGGUGGAGCACUGCAAAAGUACUCAUUCUGACAGGCUUACCAUAACAAGAGACUCUAAGUGUAUUUUUGGAAAAUUCGAAAACCACCUUUCGCAUCAUAAUCUGAUCUACAUUCAUGGUGUUCUGUUUAGAUUUGGGUGGUACGCUUGUGAUGGUGUCUAUAGAUUUUCUGUGAAUACAUUUGGAUAUGUGGGGAUUGAAAAUCGGUAUUUCUACAAAAUUGCAAUUUUCCACCGUACUGCCAAUUAUUGGAUGGCAAUUCCUGAACAAUUAUGUGCAGAUCUAGAUGAUGGUGAUAUAAAAUUUUUAAAUAUGCAUUACGUAGAGAUGUCACAAGAACAGUUGAUGAGUUUUUCCAAAGGAGGUGGUGGGUUUAGUUACAUCGUCCAAAUAAUUGACCGCGGAAUGUAAUGGUAUAUAUCCUCACACGCUUCAAUUUGGUAAGGUUUCGUAAUUAUCUUCUUCACAAAUAAGCUGAGUUUUGUCCUGCUUUUUUGCUACAUUGCAGCAGUCCAGAGAUUUGUCCUUCCAUUAUCAAAAAUUUGUCAUUAUAGUUUCUUUUUCGAAUAAAUGUUACAGUUGAUUAA